Molecule: ribosomal RNA, 272 nt
Filed under: uncultured bacterium
Lineage: Bacteria
Description: partial 16S ribosomal RNA
Rfam family: Bacterial small subunit ribosomal RNA
Source: RNAcentral
UACGUAGGUCCCGAGCGUUGUCCGGAUUUAUUGGGCGUAAAGCGAGCGCAGGCGGUUUGAUAAGUCUGAAGUUAAAGGCUGUGGCUCAACCAUAGUUCGCUUUGGAAACUGUCAAACUUGAGUGCAGAAGGGGAGAGUGGAAUUCCAUGUGUAGCGGUGAAAUGCGUAGAUAUAUGGAGGAACACCGGUGGCGAAAGCGGCUCUCUGGUCUGUAACUGACGCUGAGGCUCGAAAGCGUGGGGAGCGAACAGGAUUAGAUACCCCGGUAGUCC